AAAGGGCUGGGUCUGGGGCAGCGCGGUCCAGGCCGAGGUUGCGGCGCCCACAGAUCGGCGUCCAGGCGGGAGGCCGAGACCCGAGGGAGCUACCCCAAGGCAAGUGCCAACUGUGUCUUUGAGAGGCCACUGCAGAAAAUACCAGUAAGGACUAAGAACCCCAAAGAAUUGAAAACAGGUGUGGUGUUGCAGUCCCAGCUACUCAGGAAGCCUAAGC
This is a non-coding RNA of Marmota flaviventris (yellow-bellied marmot), 217 nucleotides long. NCBI's taxonomy places the organism in Eukaryota, Metazoa, Chordata, Mammalia, Rodentia, Sciuridae. The record is from RefSeq and is a predicted model, not a curated record.